This 36723-nucleotide long non-coding RNA is filed under the name Glycine max (soybean). RNAcentral's name for it is "long non-coding RNA (GMAX_LNC004645)". Lineage: Eukaryota; Viridiplantae; Streptophyta; Magnoliopsida; Fabales; Fabaceae. The record is from RNAcentral.
UUCUUUCUCCUUGAGUAUGUCUUCUGCUGCUCCUUAUCACUUCCCUAACAGCUUUCAUGAGUUUCCCACAAAUCUUUUACAUUUAUUUUAAUUACACAAGAUCACCUUAAUGACGGUUUCCUACCACUAAGGCACUACCAUUAGCUUAACCAGUUAGUCUUUUUGUAAGAAGUCUCAUAUGUUAUUGAGGAGGAGAUCUAAAUAUUUUUGAAUUUUACAUUCUAUUGUAUCAUAUCAAAAGGAAAUUUAGAACUUAGUUACUUCUAAAAGAUUAGACAAAGAAAAGGUAUAGAGAGUUAUGCUAGGAUAUACAUCAUCCUGGCUCCUGUGGAGUUGGCUCUGAUGAUCAACACUUACAUUAGUCAUAAAGAGCUGGAAUCUGCUUCAAUUGGACAAUUUUAUUCAUCUAACGGGAUAUACAUUUCAUCAACGCAUGGACAUAAAAAAAAGUUUACAUUUAUUCAUUUAAUUCAGCGAACUAUAAGAGUAGUAUGACUUUAUAUUGGAAAAAAUCAAAGUCCCAUAUUAGUUAGGUCAAGAUAAAAUAUAUAAAUAUGGGACAAUCCUUACUAUAUAAGUUAGUUUUUGGGGUUGAGUUAGACUCAAAUCUACAUUCUAAGGUGGUAUCGGAGCUUAUCCUAGAUUCAUUCAAAAGGUCACCUGCCAUGUUAUCCACAUACCAAACCCAAAAGUAAAUUAGGUUCAAACUCACAUUUUAAGACUUUAAAUCUUGAUCCUCUAUGUAUGAUUUAUAUGGCUUACAUUUAUUCCUCUCACUCAUAAAAAUGACUCUCACUAGAUAUGCUCUCUAUAUAUGUAUGCCUGUGUCAUAAUAAAUUUGUUAUUUGAUAUGAAAAAUAAAUUAAUAUAUUUUCUAAUAAUAGAUAUUACAUUUUUUAUGUAACCUUCUAAAAGUCAAAAACAUUGUAAUUGAAUUGAUAUUAUUCUAAUCUGAGAAGUUCAAUAGGUUAGAGAUUAAAAAUAAUUAGUUUAAUAUGAGAAUUUAAUAUUUUAAACAUGCUGAUGUGGGUCAUAACAUGAUAGUUUAUAUUUGUAAAAUUUUGAAAUCAGUUAGAGUAGUUCUUCACUACUUUUAUUUAAAAUCAAAUAAUGAUGGGGGCAGCUUGUUACUUCUCUAUUCAAAUCUUGAAUUUUGUUGUUUUUAUUUUUAUUAUAAAACUUUAUUUUCAUAGAUCCAACAUACAUGAUUCGGGCUAUUGCAAGUAAUGCCUCGGACAACAUUUACUGCACUCUUCUUGCUCAUGGUGCUGUUCAUGGAGCUAUGGCUGGAUAUACUGGCUUCACAGUCGGGCCUGUGAACAGUAAACAGGCUUAUAUCCCAAUUGCCGUGAGUGGUUCAUUCCAUUAGCUCAUUUUUAUAUUCAAUUCACGUAAAUUACUUUUAUUGCUAAAAAUUAUGCUGCGCUUAACAAUUUUAGUAUUUUGUGGUUGUUUUGUUUUAAUUAUUUUCUGAUACAUUUUUGUAUUUUUUUUAACCACCUUUAGAUUUUUCUAACUCAAAUAUCUUCUGUAGGUUAUUAGUUUUUACAGAUUACAAUUCAAUAGAAAACCUUCCUAGACUAAAACAGCAAGGAUUGUGGAAUAGAAUAAUAGUAUAUAUGAAAUAUCUUUUGAAUUUAGCCAUAGAAUGAAUUCCAUGACUUCCAGACUUAGCAUUCAUUCUCAUCAUUCAAAAGGCUAACUGUUCCAAAUGCACGAGCUGCACCCCUGUUAGAAUAAGCCUUGUAGUAGUUUUGAUUCUUAUUGUUGAAGAAGCUUUCCUAAUGUCCACCUGGAUUCUCCGCUAACUGUUCCAAAUGCACGAGCUGCACCCCUGUUAGAAUAAGCCUUGUAGUAGUUUUGAUUCUUAUUGUUGAAGAAGCUUUCCUAAUGCCCACCUGGAUUCUCCUCUAACAACCUGCUAUGUUUUCUUUCCAUUUGGCAAUCUUCUACACAAGCAAAAAAUAUAUAUAUUUUCUUUUAUUCUGAUAUGCAUCGAGGAAAAUACCAUAAAUGAGUCUUUUGAAGAGACUCUCUUUUAUUGGAAAAAAAAAACUGAACUGAUCUAACUAGGACUAACCAUUUAGAAAAGUUAGAUAGUAGAUGACUGAAGAGAAGAAAGCUUGCCUGCCAGCCAGGCACAAAAAUCAAGAUGAUUUUUUUUUCUUGAAAAAAAAUCCCAGGAGGUUGAUAAAAUUUCUUGAAUUUGAACUCUGGAAAUAGACUCACCACGAAAUCCACUUCCUCCAUCUGACACUACAGCAUCAUUAUCAAGAAAACUGAAGCUCUUUUUAGUUCCAUUACAAACACCAUCUGAGACUUUUCAAGAUUAAGUUGAAUCUGGCUAUCAACUUUUAUAACAUACUCCAUUUUUCUUUUCUUAUUAUAACUGGAUAUCUUAAGUGGAAAGACAUUGAUAGUUUGAUGAUAAUUGUUCUAUAUAUAACUACUUUCUCUUAAGUGUGUAUGAUUUAUUGGAAGGACUAUCUUGGCACUUCACUAUUAUGGGAAAUAAUUAUUGGCCUUUCACUCAUUUAGAGGAGGGAUCUAGUUAUUUCAAGAAUAAUUUUAAAAAAGUUACUCUUCAUCUUAAUCAUUGAUUUUCUUGAAAUCGAAUGGUUAAGAUUAGUUACUUACUAUAAUUAUUAGAUUUCAAGAAAAUGAAUGAUGAAGAUGUGAAAUCAUUCUAAAGAAUUAUUUUUGGAGUAAGUUAAUUCCUUCUCGUUUAGGUAACUGGAAAUUAUGUCUUGUUUCUCAAUCUCAUAUGUUAUGCUUUUAUUUGUUUUUCCUCGCAUUAUGAUCUGAUCAUCGAACAUCUUGUUGCAGUGUGUGAUGGAGAAACAAAAUAAGGUCAAGCUGACUGAUAGGAUGUGGGCUAGACUUCUUGCAUCGACGAAUCAACCAAGUUUCGUUGCCUAUGAUCAAGAAAGAGUCGAGAAAGAUAUAAAUAACAUGAAUAUUACCUCUCAAACUAGAUUUAAUAGGUAUUUUGAUUGAUUGAUGCGAAUUGAUUAGUCAGAGAAUGGAUUAUCAUUUAGCAUAUGGGGGCUGAUAGUACCCAUUCAUUUAUUUGUAUUUUAUUAAUUGGGCAGUUGACAUGUUGAAUGAAAAUCAGAAUUUAAUAAAUUUAUAUACCAGCAUGAUAGUUCCACUACACGAUACGCCCACACUCAAUCUGUACACUUUACGCGCCUAGAAUGUGUUUAUUUACAUAUUAAAAAAAUGGUUAAAAACUGUUUUAAAGAGCUUCAUAUUAGCAUUUGCAUUUGCAUUUAGUGAGCAAGCAUAGCAUGAUUUUGCUAUAUUGUUUUCGUGUACUUGAUGAAAUCAAUUUUUUUUUUUUAUGUAUUUCGUGUGCUUCUGUUUUAUUUAUUUUUAAAAUGCUCUAAAUGGCUAAAUAUGGAAAUAUCAUGCUAUGGUUAUCGUACUUCUCUGAACGACUUAAGGCUUCAUCUGCCUUAAUCUAACUGCUUUGAAAUGGUUUUCAGCAUGGAUUUAGACUAGUCUUUGGAUGAUGCAUUAACAUAUGGUGCAUGAUACUGCCUUUUUUUUUUUUUCUUUUUUCUUUUUUCUUUUUUGUAUUUCUUAAUAGGGAAGUUGACAUGUUGAAAUAGCCUCUUUGCUUAUGGUGACACGGCUGCAGCCACAGACAUAAAUGAAACUAGAAUACAUAUAACAAUAUCAAUGUCUUACGUCAGUCUUGUGUUUAAAAAGUGAAAUUCCACAUUUACUUGCUUAUAAAUUCUGUUUUAAUAAAAUUAGAGAAAAUAAAUUAUACAAUUCAUAAUAUAAAAUAAUUUUAUAUUGUCAUCUAAUCAUAACUAAGUGAUAAAUUUAUUGACUUUUAUGAUAACUACUUUAAAAGUUAUAUCAACAAUGAUUUAUAAUUGGAUACAACAACAACAACAACAACGCCUUAUCCCACUAGGUGGGGUCGGCUACAUGGAUCAACUUCCGCCAUAAGAAAUAUACUGAAUCAAUUCAAUUGUAACUUCAAAUAUGGAAUUCAAAUCUAUAAAAUAAGAAAUGAUAUUCUAAAUCAUCUAACUUAUUUUUAUUUCUCGAAUGGAGAUAUCUAUAAAUCAGGAUCUUAAUGCAUAUAGAUACAAAUGGUCCAAUGGAAGCAAUAAUUUUCAGAAAUAUUUGGAUUAUUUUAUUAUUGUGCAUGAUCAUUAAAAUCAUAACGGAAAAUAAAAAAGUGAUUUAGAGGAAAUGAGACAAUCUUGGCUUGUGUCUACUAACUGUUAUACUAGUUGCAGCGACAUUUGCACAAAACUAAAUUAUAUCUGUACCAAACAGGAAAAUAAAAAAACUUUAUUUGUCAAUUGUAUUAGAGAUAAGAUCUAUGACUUCUAUUCUGCUUUGCUUGUUUUGGCUAAACCACUGCGCAAGUGUAUGGACUAUACAUCUGCCUACGAGGGUGCUUUGAUGUGAUUUGUUUAAAAUAUCAAAAUUAAUGUCCUUAAAUGUUUUGAUACAAGUUGAAAGAUGAGUGUCCAAAUGUAUUAAUCAUAUCAUUAAAGCAGCAGCCUUUUUUCUAGCUUGCAAUGCAAUGUAUACUAAUCAGCAAGAUACAUACCAAAAACAACUUGCUGACUCUUGGCAUUGCAAGUUGCCAAGUUUCUUGUCCCUAUUUGUUUACUUGAUUUAUUUUCCCUUGUAGAAAACAGCUGUAAUGCUAGCUGCCAAUGACCAAGUUGAGUAUCUAACUAAUAAUGAUUUUGUUGCUUCAAUGUGGGUUACCACAGAAGACUAUUUAAUUUGGAUAAGAUUAUGUACGUUUAGUGUGACAACCGUGUAUUAAGGACUCCAUUCCCAUCAACUAGACACACGUAACUAGAUAAUCAAUUCCGAUGUAUCUUGUCGAAAAAAUUAGUUCAGUUGUUAAGGAUCAGACUUAUAUCUUACUAAGACAUGAAUUUGAAUCUCACUGACGAUUUUAAAGACCUUCUUGGUGGCUGAUAUGUAAAUACCUUAUUCUUUGAGUCUUAUGGCUUACUAGAUAAACUCUGGAAUCCAACUCGUCUAAACUUUUUCUCAGAUAAAAAAUAUCUGAUGUAUCACAUCCAAAAGUAGGGCCCCUUUUUUAGUAUAUAUAUAUAUAUCUUUUCUGCAUCACAAAUUCAACCUCCUACUCCUUCCAAAAAUUCUUAAGGAUGGCCACAGCAGAAGAAAUUUCAACUUUGAAACUGUUGCGCCAAUAUCUCUUGGGGGAUAUUUCAGACCCUUUUCUCACCAAUCUCAUUCCAGUAAAACUUGAAGACCCCUCAUCAGGACUUGAUAUGGGUUCAAACUUCUCAGAACAAAGCAGCUUCUGCAAGUUUCUGGAGUGCUUUGAUUUUGAAGCAGAAGUGGUAGGUCUCACUUCUCAUCAUAAGGUCCAAAGCUCCAUUGCAACAAGUCCACCCCAGAAUUUCAAUUUUCCAGAAGAACCAAUGGUGUCAAUGAAAAAGGAAGCAACAUGUUAUGCAACAAGGCAUUACAGAGGAGUGAGGAGAAGGCCAUGGGGGAAGUUUGCGGCAGAGAUUCGCGACCCCAAAAAGAAAGGGAGCAGGGUGUGGCUUGGCACAUUUGACACUGAGAUUGAUGCUGCUAAGGCUUAUGAUUGUGCUGCCUUCAGAAUGAGGGGUCAUAAAGCCGUGUUGAAUUUCCCUCUAGAGGCUGGAAUGUCUCAUCCAGAGCCCAACAGCAGUGGCAGGAAAAGGAGAAGAGAGUACACAACAGCUGCCACAAGUUCAAGGCAUGUUAUGUCAUGAGAAAUAAUUCAGUGUGGGAGAACCAUGUUUUUCUUUUGGCAUUUUUUGCCAGUUACACAAGUUAAAGCAAGGUUUUAUAGUUACACUACAGUUGAGCAUGAUGAGAUCUGUUAUUUAAAUCCUUGAGUUAUGGUUAAGGGUGAAAUUGAAUUAAACCCAAGAAUGAAACAGCUCAUAAAGAAACCUACUUCUACUUUUUUAUACAAGGCUCUCAAAGUAGAAUGUGUGAUAGUCACCACUCACCUUAGUUCAUUAGAUAAUGAGGAAAAUUCUUAUUGCAUCUUAACUUUAUCUUUAUUCUCAGGAUUACUAACCAUAUCGAUAGUGGCUUGUUUUCAUCAUUUACUGUAAUAGUCAGCUUUUUUCACAAGGAUAAGGUAUUAUGGGAUGUUCAGUGGAGUAUUUAAGUGGCUUGGCUUUCCCUUCUUAAUUGGCAGCUAAGUUAUAAGGGAGGGUUUCCCAAGUGCUUGGAUAUGACAAUGAUUUUUGCUUUCCUAGUUACUUAAUUAUAAUUAUAGGAUUUAUUAGAAUUUAUCAUUUCCUAUUUUUUACUCAAAUUUUACUUGUAAAGAAUGUACAACGACUUGUGAAUAUAAAUGAGGAAAAUAAUCUUGUCUCCUAUCUUGACAUGGUAUCAGAGUCAUCUAGGCUUUCACCAAGAGUGGGUGCUAACUGCUAAGAGUGUGAAAAUGGCAUAAAGUCAUACAGAAAAUGACUGAUCAAAUAUGGAAAAAAUAUAGAAGAGAAAUGUGAGUCAUAAUGAUUAGAGAUGGUGAAGAAAACUCCAUCUCCAUUGAGUUCAAACGACUACCCAGGAAGUGUGGUCAUCUAAGUUGAGUUACAAGGUGAGGAUUAUGAAGAAUGUUCAUACAAAUAUUGCUCAAACUUUGGGAUGGCUGCCUCGGCAAAAGAUGCAGACAAAGGCAGGUUCACAAGCCUGAGCAAAUUCUAGUUGAUGCGUUGAACAAUAAUAAAAGAAAUAGUGCUAAAAGGAUGAUAUUUAAAGAAACAAUGUGGAUUAUUGAUACAAGAGCGUCUCAUCACAAGAAUGAAAAUUUGACACUUUAAUUUCGUGCAAGAAUUGCCAAAUGGAGAGCAAGUAGUGACAACUAAGGACGAAAUUGUGAUCCUUCAAACUUAGCAAUGUUUUAUAUAUACGUUCCUAUAUUGAAUUGUAACUUAACCUCAGUGUCUCAAUUGGUAGAUGAUUGCAGAUAUUGUACAAUUCAGUUUCCUAAAUUUAUGCUAUUCAAGAACUUGCCUUGAGGACGAUGAUUGGAGUGGGCGAACAAAGAAACGAGCUCUACUAUUUUAGAGGAGUUCGACAUGAGAAAGCUUAAAAACUUGGCAAAGUAUCUUUGUUUGAUUUUUGGCAUUGACACGUAUGACAUCCUUUAUUGAAGAAUACUUAGUUAAUCUCAAAGGUUAGUAGAAAAAAAUAAAAUUAUUCUCAUAGUAACUAUUUUUGAAUUCCUAAGGUUUUGGGGUGUUUCGGUGCAUGGUGAUGAAGAAGAGGUUGUGUUUUUUUUGGGUAAUGUGAGUUUGAAGACAAAAAUGAAGUGAAGAGAGAAAGGGAAAACAAUAUAUACGCAGAUCUGACUGCUAAAUGUUGGCGGAAUGACAAAUCCUUAAUGUUGUUGACGCUGAACACUGAACAGUCUCUGACUUACAUAAUUUAGAAGUUUUUUUUUUUUGUAUCCAGAAAAAUAAAUCCAAAAUUCUUGUAACAUAUAAGUGUUCUGGAUUACUCAAUCCAGAACUAUGUUAGAAGAAUUCGGGAAGAGCAAAUUUAUAGGGCCAACUUACUGUUUCCGCUAUCUAACAUAGAAGAAGGAGGAAGACAGAAAGAGGAAAACAACUAUUGUUUCAUUGACAGACGGGGGGAGAAAGAAAGGUUAACUUGGGGAUAUAAAAAAUCAUGGGGUGCAGGAAGUAAAGGCCUGUUUCAUUCUUAUCAUUGGGCUUGUACAAGCCCAACUUUUCUUUUUGUUUACACUUCUAUUGGUUCUUGCUAUUUACUCUACCAUUUUUUAAGUAUAUCCCCAUAUCCCCCUUUUUGUCUUUCAAUUACCAAUUAUAUAAUUUUUCUUAAAAAAGUACACCCCUUUAAAUUUUUAGAAAUGUAUUUUUGGAAUUACAUAUAUCCAUUCCAAAAAUGUAUCUCCGAAACUAUAACUCAUACUUACAGAGAUAUACUUUCAUAAUAAUUAUAUGUUUUUCAAUAAAAUAUCACCGAAGAAUUAAAAUAGUUGGCGAUAAAUAAAAAAUGAUAAGCACUUUAUCUUAUACCUAUCUUUGUUAGUUUUAUUUUCAGCAUAUCAUUAGUGUGCUUUAAAUCUUAUCUAAAAUUUUAUUUUCAUCUUAUCUUUAUUAUUCCUUAGACCCUAAUUUUAAACUAUUUUCACCAUAUAUUCAUUAUAUAAUACAUCAUUUUCAUCAUUAUUAUACAAUAUUUUGUGUUUUCCUUCAUGUGACAAUGUGUUUUAAGGUAGUUCAUCACUAACUUCACAUGACACUAAAUCAUAGAUGUAGACUUGGAUUAGAAAAUUGAUGAACGCACUUAAAGAAAAGAAAUCAUCGCCAAAAGAUUUGCUUUGUAAUUAAAGUAUAUAAUAUAUGAAGUUAGUGAAGAAAGUACAUUGAAAUGUAGUGUCACAUGAAGGAAAACACAAACUAUUGUAUAAUAAGGAUGAAAACAUAAUAUUAUAUAAUGAAUAUAUGGUGAAGUUAAAAUUAGGGUUUAAAGAAUAAUAAAGAUAAGAUAAAAAUAAGAUUUUAGAUAAAUUUAAAGAACAUUGAUGGUAUAAUGAAAAUAAGACUAACAAGUAUGAAUAUAAGAUAAGCAUUUAUUAUUUUUUUUAUUUCUCGUCAAUCAUCUUAUUUCUUAAGUUAUAUUUUAUUAAAAAUAUAUAUCUAUUUUGGAAGUAUAUAUCCAGACCUAUGAAUCAUUUCGAAAAUACAUUUUUGAAAUAGAUACAUGUAAUUCUUGAAAAAUAUUUCUAGAAAACAAAAGGCAUGCACUUCUUUAAGCAAAAGGGUAUAAUGGGUAAUUGAUUAGGAAAUUAAACUGGGGUUAUAAAUAGUAGGAGCCCUUUUAUUUUAUGUCUUGAUAAUUUAUCUUAUUUAAUAUCCAAAAUCAAUUUUUAUAUUCAAUUAAAGUAUUUGUUUUGUACUCUUGUGAGGUUAGGGUUCCACAAGCCCAAAAGACCAUGUUUUGUUUAAUUGCUGAAAUAAAAUUAUAAAAAUAAAAGACUUUGUAAUAUAUUUUUAGUACUGUAAUGUACUGUUUUUUAUUUUUAUUUUAAUCCUUAUUUUUUUUUCUCAAAAUAGUCUUGUAAAAUUUCUCUUUAGUUUUAUUCCUUACUAUUUUGUUUUGUCUUUUUAAUAAAUCCCAUUUGUAGGUACUUAAUAACUGAGUAUAACCAUUAUAAACAACAAGAAGACCAAAAAAGUAAUUAGGAAUUUUCAUUUUCAGUGAACAAGAACUGCAAGACCAUCGAGUUGGUAUCUAUUAAAUUUUUUUAUCUCCAACAUACGAUUCAUAAUAAAAAUGGGAAAUAUGUGGCUGGGAUUAAGAUUGAUUUUAUACUUGAGAGAGGUGCGUGGUGGUGACCAUAUUAGAGAAGCUAACACCUACCUAUGAUUGUAAGAAUGCCAAUUGUUUGGGUUUAAAUUAACUUUUUUUUUUCCUAACAAGACCAUUGCUGAGUAAGUGAUACAGGAGGAAAUAUAACAGAGGCAAGCAAUGACACAGGAAGGCACACAGCAGAGGCAAGCAACCAACAUGAUGAGGUGCAACAAGCAAAUCAGGUCAACAAAGAGCAAAGGGAGCAAAAGCCCAAGAGGAGGGUAGCAAAGCCAGCAUACCUUAGAGAUUAUGUCUGAGAUAGUGGGAUGGGCACUAUAGGAAUUCUGUUAGAGUAAUUACAACAAGUGGGAGACAAUAUUAACAACUUUGAUUCUGUAAUAUUCCAAGGGUGCACAAGGGGUAGCAAUUCUAUUAUUUGGAUUAGUAUAAAUAAGUUUGUAAUGCAAUAUACAGAAUCAUGAAUGAAAUGAGUAUUUUCUUAUCUUAGCUUAAUUCCCUUCUCUUCCCCGGAGGCCCUGCUCCUCGAAACCAGAAUUCCCUUACCCAACUUGUAUCAGUAAGUGACCAUAUUUCUUUUUAAACAUUAUUUAAUAUUGCUAAGUAGUCAUAUUAUACAAGGAAUAUUUUUUUUAACUAAAUGGUUAACACAAGUGGUUAAUAUACUAAAAUUAAGGUUGAAUCAUUCAAGUAAUACGUAAGUUCGAUUCUUAGUAAAAAUAAUUUUUAAUCAAACUUUAUUUAUCUUUCGAUCAAGCUUCAAAUUAAUCAAAAUCUCUUUUUUCUGAUAAACUUGUGGAGUAUGAAGAAAUAAAAAGUAAUAAAUAUUCAGAAACAUAUAACAACUAUAUAAAUUGUGCAUUAAAUGUAGGUGGAAAGUUGUCCCACUUCCAAUAGUGAAUAUGCCCCACUUGGGCAAAAAGCUGGGUGCCUUAAGGUGUGUUUGAUUUGUAUUUUUAUUUUCUGUUUUCAUUUUCAAAAGAUUAAAAUUCUAAAAAUAUGUUUAGUUUGACUUCUUGUUUUUUGCUUUCAAGAAAUAAAAACACUGAAAAUGCAUUUUCAAAAGGAAAUAUAUUUUUAGAUUUGCUUAAAAUUACAUUUCUUGUCACCGCUUUUUUAUUUUAUCCAAAAUGAGGUUCUUGGUUUCAACUGAAAACACUGAAAACGAGAUUUAAUUAUUUUCAAAUUUUGAUUCGUUUGGAAAAAUAUUUUCACUGAAAAUGAAAAACAGAAAUCCAACUAAACACAUUUCCAUUACCAAUUUUUAUUUCCAGUAAAAAUGAAAACAGAAAAUAACCAAUGCAAACAUCCCUUAUUUUGCCUUUAGUUACCUUCUACGGGAUCCUUCUGCCUAUUUCCACCAGCUAGCAUAGGAGGAUGACAAUUAAUGAGACUCCCAUGCAAACGUUAAUGCUAAGAAAGUAGUUAGUCUUAUACCCUAAUUUAGAGUGUAUGGAAAUGGAAAACAGAGAAAAAGAAAAGAAACAAAGUCCUAAAUAUAGAUGAAUUGAUGUAAUAAGAAAAGAGAGAUAAGAAGAAAAAAAUCCAAGAGAAAAUAAGUGUAUGUGAUCUAUUUUAUUUUUCUAUCUCUUUUUCAUUUUUUUACUUAUCUCUCUCUUCCAUUGAUAUUAUAUUGCUUGAAUUUCAAAAUUUGAAAGUUAAAGGAACCUUCAUCUUUACGCACUCUCUUUCCUAAUUCUUUCAGUGAAGAACUGUAAAAUUCACAGGAAAGUUUCCAUUCCACCAGUCAUAACCAGUACUGAUCUUCUCAGAUUCAACCACACUGCAAAAGUAUGCUGGUAUCGGAUCAAAUGAGAGCUCUGAUUAUCGAUUUGUUGUGAAAAACUCUCAAAAACACAUUGUAAUAAUAAGAAAAAGAAUAAAUUAUAAUAAGACCUAACUAUGGCAACGUUGAUACAAUGUUUAUUUAUAUUGAACUCUCACAACUAAACUGAAUUACUGCUUUAACAACCACCUCUUGAAUUAUAUCACAACAUGAUCAUCACUCAGAAUGUCUCUCUAGUGACUACCAAAGGAGCACUGUAAUUGGCUGAUGAACCAUCUAAUCAUUUUUAGUAUAUUGUAUUUACUAAGGACUUUUUUUUAUAAAAAAAUUCUGAUCGAGAAAGGAAAAGUGCAUUUCUGUUUGUACUUCAACGUUGUUUUAGUUUUUCCACGUGCUUACUCUUAAAACUAAAGCAGGAUCUUACAAAAAUAAUAUAUUGUGACAUUUUUAUGUCCCCAUUAUUGUUCAUCCUAUAUUCCAAACCAUUAAUUUGUAUAUUUCAAACAAUAGAAUGGUUCUACAAUUUUUAUUUUUAUUUAUUUGCAUUUCAAAUUUUCAAAACAAACCUUUUGCAAAAACUACAAGCCAGCCUUCCCCUUGAUUUCAAUUAAGCAAGGAUGCAUUCAAUUCCUUUUGACCUCAACCAUUAGGAACUCGAUAUUCUCAAUUUACAUAAAGCAAUAUGUAAACUUCUAAGGUGAAUUAUCCACCCUGCAUGUUUGUUUAGAGAAUUCAUGCACUAACUGGUCUUAUUAUAACUACAGUAGAAUCUGGAGAAAGGAGACACAUUGGAAGAGACUAGACUAAGAAAAUGGAUUAGUCUUAGUAGACUUUAUUUUACAUUAAUAUUGGAAGAGAAUAGACCAAGAAAAUGAGCACUGACCAAACUAGUCACACACAUUCACACACAAAACAACUAAUACACGAUCGAACAGUUCAAAUUUUAAAUGAUAGCUUAUAGUCCAAGAAAUCCGAAUCCUGAACACUAAGCCAUAGACUUCAACUGGGCAACCAGAUCAGUGAUGAAUUUGUUCUGAAUUCCUUUAUUCAAUAAAAACUCCUUCCAUUUCAUGUGGUUUUCUUUUAUUUGCUUCCCUGGCUCUUUAUCAUCCUCCACCAUGAUAGUUUUUACUGCCUUCAGUAUAUCCUCUUUCUUAAAGUCCCCAUCUUCACUCCUAUUCACCUCUAUCCCUGCCUCCAAAGCCUUGGCUAUGAGCUUAGCAUUGAAAAACUGGUCAGCCUUGAAAGGCAACAGCACCAGUUCACAAUCACUGGCCAGAGCUUCAAUCACAGAAUUGAAGCCACCAUGGCCUAAAUGGCAUCCCACGCUAGAGUGUUUCAGUACAAGCUGCUGCUGAAACCAACCAGUGUGCACCACUCCCCUAUUCUUCACUCUUUCCAAAAACCCUUUUGGUAAUGCUCUCUCUAACUCAGCUUUGGCAGAGAGAUUGGAUGGGAAAUUCAGAACCAAAAUGAAAGGUAAGCCACUGAGUUCUAAGCCACUGGCCACUUCUUUGAUUUGAUCAUCAUUCAGAAAUUGCUCACUGCCAAAGGAGCAUAGUAUGACAGAUUUGGCAGGGAAACUGUCUAACCAUUUGGACCACUUUUCCUCUAGCACAUCCAUUGAUGGCUCUGGGACAAGGAAACCAGUUAACAAAACCAGUUUCCCAAAUUGCUUUUCAAUGUAGUCUAAGUAGGAUUCUUCUAUUUCCUUGCACGAUCUAAACACUAUUAAUGAGCAGUCACUAAAGCCUUGCAAAACUCGCUCAUAACCAGUAAAGUUUUUUUCACCAAAUCUUUUGAAGAGGAACAUCAAGUCCAUGGCCUCAAAGGCCUUGAGGGAAAUGUUGGAGUUUUGAGGAUACCCUGGUGGAGGCUUUUUAAGAUCCUCAAAAGUGAUGUUUCUUCCUUCAAUAUCAGCAAGCCUUGAAGGCACAGUAAUGUAAGAAUCAGAUAUGGCAGAGAAGGACGCAAAGCGAACAGAUUUGAUGCCAAGUUCAGAAGCUAGUUUUGGGAGCCAGUUUUGUGCAAAGUCAAAGAAAACAUAAUGGGGUUUGAGUUCCAACAAAAGGGACUUUACAUGAGGUUGAGUAAGGUCAAGUGCAUGUAUGAGAUUUGCAGCCAAGUUUGGUGGCAAUUCAGCAGUGCUGGUUAUGCCAUUUGGGAAGUAUAGUGGGAUAACAUUGAUGGCUGGAUUGAGAUUAAGAGUUGAUUUGAUUCUGGGAAUGUUGGAUGCAGCUGACAAGAAAGUGAUACGAACUCCAUGAGAGAACAACUUGUUGGAGAGUUGAACAAAUGCGUUAAUGUGACCAAAUGCAAGGAAUGGGAACAUAACCACAUGAAGCUCAUCAUUGUUCACAACUUCACAAGACAUCUUUUUUGUUUAUGUUUCUGCAAGUUCCUUAUGGAUGUUGGCUUGCUCAAACGGUGCAUGAUCAAUGGUGGUUAUAGAGUGGACUAUUACCAGUUUUGGUAUAUUAGAUAAUGCUUCGUGUCUGGAUUGAUUACCAGAUUUGGUGCAUUGAUUAAUGCCUCCACCUUGAUGGGGAUCCAGUUAUCAACCUCCGGGUAGUUGAAACGUGUGGUUCAUAAUAUUGCCAAAGUUAAUUUUAAUAUUCUUGGCAAAAAAUUAUGAAUGUUGUCAUGACGCACUCUUGGUCAUGACCAGUGCACAGACUAUGUCUUCUUUAGUCUGGCCAGCCUAUCCUAUACAACUUAACCUGUAAAGAACACAAUAUAUAUAUAUAUAUAUAUAUAUAUAUAUAUAUAUAUACAAUUUCAUGUACUUGUAUCUCAUCUCAUCCAUUUAAUAACAAAGUGAAUUAUAACCACUAAUCAUCAAGUGUCUCAAAACAUCACAAGUGCAUCAUCAUCAUAUCUAUAAAGGAGAGUCAUUUACAUUCCCAAAAUAAAGGAGUCCCCUCUAAAUCUAGUACUACCCUGGUCCCUAUAGCUACAUUAUACUAGAGUUACAACCAAAAUAUCCAUCAGACACAAUGGGGACCUACCAAAAAGAUAAUCAAGUUCCUGGGUGUGUCAGCGAAUCCCAGGAAAUCGGUUACUCCACUACUGGGUAUCUGAGAAAAGAAGUAAAAUAAGGGGUAAGUCACAAGGACUUAGUGAGAGCAUAAUAUACUAAGCAGACAUGAAAGAGAGCACCAUUUAACAUGAAUCUUUCCAUUUCCCAAAAGAUAUUAAAAUAACAUUCUUGAAAGCAAUGAACGAAAAUAGACUUGCUUUUAGAAAUCACUGUAUGCAAAGUAUAUACAUUUCAGAACUUCUCAUAAUCUGGUAUUCAACACAAUUACUUUAAAUAAUUAAGCAUUUAUUCUACUAUGUGCACAUAGACCACAUUAUCUCUUCAUUGUGGUGAACGGUAAUUAUAUAACUACGACAUUUAGUUCGUAGGCUGCAUUAUCUCUUCGUUGCAGCAAACGGAACAUAUAUUUAUACUAUGAGAAUUCAACUCAUAGGCUACAUUAUCUCUUCAUUGUAACAAACGGCAUAUAUCAUUAUACUAUGAGAAAUUAUCCCAUAGGCUACAUUAUCUCUUCGUUGUAGCAAACGGCAUAUAUCAUUAUACUAUGAGAAAUUAUCUCAUAGGCUACAUUAUCUCUUCAUUGUAGCAAACGGCUCAUAUCAUUUUACUAUGAGAAAUCAUCCCAUAGGCUACAUUAUCUCUUCGUUGUAGCAAACGACACAUAUCAUUUUACUAUGAGAAAUCAUUCCAUAGGCUACAUUAUCUCUUCGUUGUAGCAAAUGGCACAUAUCAUUUUACUAUGAGAAAUCAUCCCAUAGGCUAUAUUAUCUCUUCGUUGUAGCAAACGACUCAUAUCCUUCAUGAACUCAGCAUAAAUAAAAUUAAACAAACAGUUCAACAUUUAUCCUUAUAUAUUAUCAAGAUCUCAAAAUGUAUAUCAAAUCUCACCAAAAAUAUAUAUAUUCGAAAGUAUACUUGCUUCUUUAUAAUUGAUCUUUAAUAAAAUCGCUAAGUAUAUUAGCUACUCACCUAAAUAACACAAUCACUGACUUCUAUCGCUGUUAGGAAGGUCAACCACAGUAUUUUCUACAGAACCUAAGCAUUUAAAUAAUAGAACAAGGGAUUAGACAAAAUCCCCAAUUUUAGCAAACCUAUGAUUUUGAGAAAAUCACAAUAAUCUCUAAUACUUAGUUUUUUUUAACUCUUUUUCUCACAGCCCAUGACUAACCAGUGCUAUAACAUACUCAUCUAGCAUAACGGGUCAUAAACAUUUACCUUAAAGAGAUCAAAUAGAAAGACCAAAGAAACGCGUAGUGUUGUCCCUUUUUUUCCGUCACCUUCUCGUGCUUGGAAGAACCCAAAGAUGUAAUAAGCUUGCAAAUUUCGGAACUAUGUAAGGAGAUGAGUGAAGGAUCAAAAGAUUAAAUUUUUGGGAAAAAAGGGUUAGGGUUGAGAGGUGUGGCUGCUGCAAGAAGAAAAAGAAAGGAAGUUUACGAAAAUGGGGAAGCUCUCGGGAGUUAAAAAAAAACUACAGGGGAGUGGCUUUCUUAUAUUAAUAUUAUAUUAUUAUUUUCUUUUCUCUUUCCUUUUUAUUUAAACGGUGCAUUUCAAAUGUAGGCCAACUACAACAACCAACAAGUUGUUAAGCAAGAUCUCGGAUUCAAAUCUUAUGGAUGGAAAAAAAGUUAUUGGAAGAGAUUUCCCACUAAAGGUGACCAAUUAGGUUUUUUGAUAGAUAUUAGUUAUCAAUAAAAGUGGUGGAUACUCUUCAUCAAUGUGAUAGUGAUCCAAAAAAUCUUAGUACGACAGAAGAUGCCUUUGUGGCAGUUAUUUUACCCUUUAGUGACAAUAAAGAUAGCCACUGAAACGUUUACUGCAAUUAAAUUAUGACCGGUAUAUCUAAAGUCAGUAAAAAUAGUACCAACAACUAUGAAGAGUGCUGGUUAAAACCCUUUUUGUGAAGCAUAGUUAACAACUAAAAACACUGUCAAAUUUUCAAAAAAAUACUUUUUUCUUAUUAUAUAAACUACACUCUGAAUUAUUUUUUUUUUAAAGUCACUACACUCUGAAUUAAGGAGGGGAAAAACUAAGCUCCUGAUCUAUAAAAUCUGAUCAUAUCCACAUCUGCAAAAAGAAAUAAAAAAAAGUACAUAAGGUAAACUAAAGAAUUUUUACUUCUCAACAAAAUAUGUGUGGUACAAUCUUCAUGAGUAUGCAGGUUUGUCAUGACCAAAUUACAUUUUGAAGUCUGAAAUACUCUAAAUAGUGGAUUGUACAACACUGGUGUUUUUCUGAAACACUGGUGUCUGAGACACCAACUAAAGUGCUGGGUAUACAGGCAUUGGAGGGGAUAUAAUUAAGCAAUUUUUCAUAAUAACAAGGAGUGAAACUUGACCAUAGACAUAGGAUGCUAGGUAUAUAAAUUUUAUUUUGAGAAGUUAUAAUUAGCAUAACUUGGCCACCCUGAUCUGACAUUCUCUUUUAUUCUCAUAGUUUGGAUCCAUGAAGAUUUGGGGUGCUCUCUCAUUUUUUCAAGUUCCGUAACUCUGCUUCUAGAGAAUGAAAUGCAAAUGUUGUUGCUGCAAUUGAAGUUACAUACUCUUCAUCUCUUAUAUACUCAUCAUGAAAAGUUGUCCUUGGCAGCCAGUUCCAAGCCUUGUCAUUUCUACUACCACUGGAUCCAUGAUGUUUUGGUGAAUGUCAAUCAGAAAAUAACACUCUACAAUCGAGACAAAGCAAUUUUGGAUCUUAAUUGUCGGAAAAACAGAACAGAACAUAAAAAGAGGUAUUGGACUCAAUCAGAAAAUGCUGUAAAAUAGAACGAGCAAAGUAUAAACGUAUAAAGAAGAGAGGAGUAAAAUCAGUAUGAUGUAUUUCAAAUUUUCAUAUUUAGAUUUUGCAAACUUCUAAACUGUUACAACAAGUGUUUAAAUAUAAAACUAACAAGUAGGCAUCAUUAGCCCACACCUCCGACUAGCUUUUUCUGAACACAAGCAACUUUUAACCAAGCUUACAAGCAAAAUAGAAAAUUGCAGAGGCAUUAAAUAUUUUAAUAUGACAGCUGAAAAAUCUCAACUUCCAACAUUAAUUAGAAAUAUAAUUGGCAAGAAACAAAAAUGAUGCUCUGUAAGUGAAAAAGUUCACAACCAAGUUGCUGUAAGAAACAGUUCUGAAUGAAACUAGAACAUACAGAAAUCUAAAGUAAGAUGAAUAACAAAUGGCAUGACAACUUCAGUUAGGAAACCUAGUACCUUCUUUGAUGGAGUCUAUUUUCCAUUCCUUGAAAUUGCGAUCUAUGUAGACAUUUUUGUCUGAAUUUCUAAUUUCAAACCGUUUGAUUGUGUAAGGAUGAACUGAGAGCAGGUCUUAUAAGCGACUUCCAGAGUCUGGAUCAAAUAUGAUCUACCUCUUCUCACUUUUGACAAAGAAUUUUAUAUAGCCUAUUUUUUUUUUUAAAAAAGUUACUUGUAUGAUAAAAUUUUACAGUAAAAAUUAACUUUUAUAUAUAACCUAAAUAAAACAAAUUGUUUUAAAAUUACUUUUCAUCUUACAUCUUAAAAUAUAUGAAAAAAUUGCAUAAUCAAUUUUAUCUAUAAUUAAUUAUUAAAAUAAUUUUUAAAAAUAAUAGAAUUCCAACAGGUGCGUUAAUUGUUGCUCCAUCAAUGGUGCAAGUAAACCUUUAUCAGCAUCGGGGAAUCAGGAUAGCACCACAUUUGGUCCAUAAAAUUUUUGCUAAAUUUGAUAAGAAUUAUUAGGUACAUAUCGUUGACAUGUAAGCAAGAAAAUUUUACAAUUUCAUAUUAUCAUUAUUGAAAUCCAAUGGAGUGCUGCCCUCUUUUGCACUCCAAAACUUAAAUGAAAAAAAAAAUUCCAAUGGAAAUGCAGUACAUGACAACCUAUCAUGUAAAUUCAAGUGUCUACCCUGAAUUCACCCUAUUUACAUGCUUUAGUGGUGACUACUAUAGAUAAACUUCUAUUUCAUAUUUAGUUAUUUAAAGACAUGGUCCACCCGGACCACCCCUUAAAAGACUGUCUUACAUUCCAAGUUAUGCAGAAAACUAAACAGUACGGUAGAAACAGAAUUAUAUGCUUCAUGUUUUACUAUUUUGUAACAUAUUACACCCGAGUUGCACCACACCAGAGUCUGCAAUUUGUGAAUCAUAAAAAAAUUAUAUCUUGUUACAAUUAUUUUAAUUGUGCACGUUGUUUUAAAAAAUAAAGUUUCCAUUGCUCUAUUCUCUUCGAUGACACCAGAGAAGCAUAUUGAUCUGCACCACUCCAUUGCAAGACCAAGACCAAGAAGUUGUCUUGCAACAACAAAACCAAUCGUUUAUCAAUGAAGUUUUCUGUUAUACCAUUAGUGAGUUGGCUAGCUUGUACACGUGUCGAGAGCAUAUUGGCUAGGACCAUAAUUUUUUUUUGAAUGGCCGGCUAGGACCAUAAUUGACUUGGUGGUGUUAGAGUAGGUAAUAACUUCUUGUAUUCAAAGCCAUAUUUAUUUGUAGUAUAGAAUGAUUCUACAUUUGUUCGUCACCUAUAUUACAAACCAUGUCUAUUUCAUGUUCUACUUCUUUUUCUUUUUCAUUUCAAUAUUUCAAAACAAACCUUGUGCGCAAAUUAUAAGACAACUUCUUGGUCUUGACUAAAAUCAGUAGGAACGCCAUAACUUCAAAUUACAAACAAGAAAUUUGUAGCUUUUUUAAGGUGAAUCUCCUACCUGCAUUAAUUGGUCUUGAGAAAGGAGACACAGAAUAAAACCUAGAACGGGAAAGCAAAAUCACAAGAACAACGAGGUACUGAUCAGACAUAUCAGAAUUUCACCAAAAAAAAAAAAAAGAUCACGCAUAUCAGAAUUGAUAUAUGAAAAUAUGACCAUUUUAAACUAUAGUUUAUAGUUUUGAUAGACUUUAUUCUCCAAUGGAAGAGACUAGACUAAGCCAUAGACUUCAACUGGGCAACCAUAUCUGUGAUGAAUUUGUUCUGAAUUUCCUGAUUUGAUAAAAACAUGCUCCAUUGCAUGUGGCUUUCUCUUGUUUGCUUCCCUUGCUCUUUGUUAUCCUCCAUCAUGAUAGUUUUUAUUGCAUCUAUUAUAUCCUCUUUGUGAAAGAACCCACCUUCAUCACCCCUAUUCACCUCUACGCCCGCCUUUAAAUCAUUGGCUAUGAGCUUAGAAUUGAAAAACUGGUCACCCUUGAAAGGCAACAGCACCAGUUGACACUCAUUAAUCAAAGCUUCUAUCACAGAACUAAAGCCACCAUGGCAUACAUAGCACCCCAAACUUGAGUGCUUCAGUGCAAGCUGCUGCUGAAACCAACCAGUGUGCACCACUCCCCUAUUCUUCACUCUUUCCAAAAACCCUUUUGUUAAUGCUCUUUCCAACUCAGCUUUGGCAGAGAGAUUGGAUGGGAAAUUCAAAACCAAAAUGAAAGGUAAGCCAAUGAGUUCUAACCCAGUGGCUAGUUCUUUGAUUUGAUCCUCAUUCAGAAAUGUCUCACUAUCACGUUUUGAACACUCACUAAGGCUUCGCAAAACUCGCUCAUAACGGGUAAGGGUUUUUUCACCAAAUCUUGUAAAGAGGAACAUGAGGCAAAUUUCCCCAGAUGGGGUGCUUUUACAAAAUAUUUUCCCAAAUGGGGUCCUUUUGAAAAAUAUUACAUGGGGGUUGUUUUCUACGUACUUUGCAUGGGUUCUAUAGCAAACCGUUAUUGUCAAUGGCGAGUUUGCUGUGCGAAGCCACGUGGCAUGAAAAACGCCACUCGUAGUGGCGAGUUGCCUGCAGGUGGAAGUUGCCACCAUGACUAGCGAGUUAGGGCAGGCUUUUGCAGGCUUUUGGAGGGGGUGCAGGCCUAAAGGGGAGUUGCAACUGUCACUGGCGAUUUGAGUGCAAGUUGCAACUCCCAUUGGCGAUUUAGGGCAGAGAAGGGCUAUAAAUACAUACUCAAAUAUCAGUUUUUCUCACGCUGUUGUUGGUUGUUUACUCAAACUUCAGUGUACUCAAAUUUCAGUUUCUCACGCUGUUGCCUCUUUGCUCAAACUUCAGUUUUUAAAAAUUGUGAGUGUCAAGGAAUUCCGCAAGGUUUUCUAUUUACUUCUUAAGUCUAUAUUUUAAUCAAGUUUGUAGUUUUGAAAUUAAUAAUUUAUGUUAUAAUUUGUUUUUAAGUAUGUUGUUGUUUGCUAAGAUUUGUCCGCAUAAAGUUAUGAAAUUUGCUAUAUUUUCUGUAGUAAUUUUUUUUUUUCAUAACUGUGAGUCUUUAGGGAUUUAUCUGCAUAAGGUUUGAUAUUUGAGAGUUAAAUAUUUGAAUCCAUGCCUCUUCAGAUGGCCUUAUUUGAUUUUGGGCUCAACUUCACACCGUCACUAUCCAUGUUUGCAUUAUUUUCAAAUUGUCAUAAUAAAUUUGUUUAUUGUGUUAUUGACAAGGAGGAAAGAAAAACAAUAGUACUUACCAUACAACAAAUUUUUUAGUAUCAUUAAUAUAGGUUAGGUCUAACUAGAAAAAAAAAAACGUGCAUUUUGAAGUUAUGUUAAAUUUAAACAUACUACUUUAUUUAUAGGUUAUUAAAGGUUUUUUAAUAAAUUAAAUAUCAAAACAUUAUUAGUGUAAAUUAUUUAUAUUAUUACUAAAAAAAUAAUACAUUUAUUUUUUGGAAGUAAAAAUAAUUUGUUCCUUUUUGGAAAUUAAUAAUUUGUGUUAUAAUUUUAUGUCAGUAAUUUUUUUAUAGCAGUUUGAAUGUAUAUUUUUUAUUAAUUUUAUAAUUAAAUUAGUUUUAUAUUUUAUUUUGUAGUUUCCAGUAAAAUAAUUUGUAUGAUAAUUUUUUUAAGUAAUUAUUAAUUAAAACUAAAUUUCAACUUUCAAGUAAUUUUUUUUAAGUAAUUUUUUUUUAUUUCUUAGUUUCCAGUAAAAUAAUUUGUAUUAUAAUUUUUUAAGUAAUUUUUUUAUUUCUUAGUUUCCAGUAAAAUAAUUUGUAUUAUAAUUUUUUAUGUCUUAGUUUCCAGUAAAAUAAUUUGUAUUAUAAUUUUUGUAAGUAAUUUUUAAUUAAAACUAGAUUUCAGCUUUUAAGUAAUUUUUUUUAAGUAAUUUAUUUUAUUUAGUAGUUUCUAGUAAAAUAAUUUUUAUUAUAAUUUUUUUAAGUAAUUUUUAAUUAAAACUAGUUUUCAGUAAAAUGAUUUGUGUCAUCAAAUUUUUAAUUGAAUUUCUUCAGUGUUUAUUCUUAUUCAUGUCUACUAUUUAUUAAAUUUAAUUAUUUUCCAGUAAAAAAAUAUUUUAAUUUCUGAUAUUGAUAAUUUUUUGUUAUAAAUUUAAAUAAAUUACCAAUUUAUUUUCUAAUAAAUAAAAUUUAAAUUAUAUUACAUAUAUUACACAAAUAAAUUUAAAAAAAUCCAAAAAAUACAAUGGAAAUAAAAAUUUAAACAAUAUACUAAAAAAAUUAAAAAAAAAUUAGAAAAUAAACUAAAUAAUAUCAACAUUCUAACUAAACCUAACAUAUUUUAUAUAUAUAACAUAAAUAAUAUCAUACAAAUCUAAAAAAUCUAAACCAAAUAAUAAUAACAUAUCAAUUAAAAAAACUUAAACAAAUUCAUAUUAACAAAUUAACUACAACUAAUGUAUAACACAAAUAAUUUUAUUAUUUUAGGAUACUACUUAAAAUUUAAAAUUAUCACCUAAACUAAACAAACGUAUUAUAUAUAUACUAACCAAAAUCUACACAUAUAUAAAAUAAAUAAUAUCUUACUAAUUUAUAAAAUCUAAACAAAAUAAUAUUAUCAAAAACUAACCUAAAGAAAAAUUAAUACUAACUUAAAGAUAUGUAUAUUAACCUAACUAAUAUUCUUAAAAUAAUAUUUAUAAAUUAACUAAAACUAACCUAACAUAUAUAUAACUUACAUCUUACAAAAAUCUAACCUAAAUAAUAUUAAUAUCUCAACUAAAAUUAAUUUAACAUAUAUGCAUAUGACAUAAAAGUAUAUACCAAACAACAUAAAAAUAAAUUAACUUACCUCAAAUAUGUACUAAGACAAGCAACCAAAAAGUGUAGGCCAAAGAAGAACAAAAACUUCACCUACAAUAUAUAAAAAAUUUAUCAAUUAAUAUUAAUAUAUCACACCAAAAAAAAAAAAAUUCAGUUAAUAGCAUACUUACCAAUAACCCAAACCCAUAGCAACAAAAUAAGGGAGCACUGGAAGCAAAUAGCAAUGGCAGAAGAAGCAAUGCAGUGAAGAGUGAAUGCAAAAACGAAGCAGACCAAAGGAGCACCUGCAUUGCUUUAUAGGCCAAAAACUUUUUUUGAAAAAGCCCAAAUCACCCGUCAUGGUGGCGAUUUCUCUGCACCUGCAAAACUGCUCCUGCACCACUGCACCAUAGCUGCACCACUAGCCUACGCCUGAAGCUCCCCCUGCAAAGCCAACCCACUAGUCAAACUAGCGAUUUCCGAGACAAAGCACAGACUCGCCAAAAGGACUGGCGACUUGCAGGUGCCACGAAUUCGCCAUCACCACUGGCGUUUUCCAUGCCACGUGGCUUUGUCCAGCAAACUCGCCAUUGACAAUGGCGGUUUGCUAUAGAACCCAUGCAAAGUACGUGGAAAACAGUCCCCCCAUGUAAUAUUUAUCAAAAGGACCCCAUUUGGGGAAAUAUUUUGUAAAAGCACCUCAUCUGGGGAAAUUUGCCGGAACAUGAAGUCCAUGGCCUCAAAGGCCUUGAGGGAAAUUAUAUUGAAGUUUUUUAGGAUAACCAGGUGGAGGCUUUUUAAGAUCCUCAAAGUUGAUGUUUCUUCCUUCAACAUCAUCAAAUCUUGAAGGCACAGUAAUGGAAGCAUCAGAAAUGGCAGAGUAGACUGAGAAGUGAACAGAUUUGAUGCCAACUUCAGAAGCUAAUUUUGGGAUCCAGUUUUGUGCAAAGUCAAAGAAAACAUAAUGGGGUUUGAGUUCCAAAAGAAGGGACUUCACCUGAUCUUGAGUGAGGUCAAGGGCAUGUAUGAGAUUUCCAGCCAAGUGAGGUGGCAAUUCAGCAGUGUUGGCUAUGCCAUUAGGGAACUGUAAUGGGAUAACAGUGAUGGCUGGAUUGAGAUUAAGAGUUGAUCUGAUUUUGGGAAUGUUGGAUGCAGCUGACAAGAAAGUGACACGAACUCCAUGAGAGAACAACUUAUUGGAGAGCUGAACAAAUGGGCUGAUGUGGCCAAAUGCAAGGAAUGGGAACAUGACCACAUGAAGCUCACAAUUGUUCACAACUUCACUAGGCAUCUUCUCUGUUUAUUUUCCACCAAGUUAUUUCUUGAUGCUGACUUGCUCAGACUUUGCUCAAUACUGGUUAUAAUAUAUAGUGGCCUAGUGGACCAUACACCAGAUUUGGUACACUAAAUAAUGCUCGGUCUCUCUCAGUUGGGCAACGUUACUACUUACUAAUUUCCGAGGUAGUUGGAACGUGUGGUUCAUAAUCUUGCAAAAGUUAUUUCAUAAUAAGUUAAUAACAGGUUGAACCAUGUUGUUCAAACGUGCAAUAUUUUAUUUUAUUUUAUAUUUUAAUUAUUGUUAAAUUAAAAUAUAUUAUUGUUUGACUUGAAACCAGGUUAAUCCAAACCAAGUUAUGAGCUUAACUAAUAUUUCAAUUUUAAACAAAUUGUAAAAAAGAGGAAUAAGAAAAAGAAUUUAAUGAUAAAGGGAGUACAAAGAUUGAAAAGUGGAUAUAUGUAGCUUCAGCGGAUCUUGGUAGCUUUUGUUGUAAAUUUUCAAGACCUCCAUGGAUGAGACCUUCGAGUGCAGCCAUGGGAGGAGAAGCCAUUGUUGGACUCACUUUUUUUUUUUAUAAAUAAAAAACUAUUAAUUGUCAGACUUCAUUGGAGUUGGGCAUGGAAGUUUUAGUUCUUUGGUUGCUAAUACAUAGGAUUCAUUGCGUUCGUUCUUUGAUUUCUUUGGUUACUAAUUGUUUCUAAUUUUUUGAGGUAAUUAGAGGGGAGAUGAGUAGAGGUGAGCGGGAGAUAGAGAGAAAGCAACGUUGAUGAGGCAGCCAGAACGUGCAGACAUCACAGUAGAGAGAAUAAAAGGUGAAUAAAAUUAAAUGAAGUAAUUAAAAUAAAAUAAGUUUACAUAAAUAUUCUUUAACUUACAUCCGUCUAAACACAAGAAGAAUGAUUAUUUUAUCUAAAUAAAAAAAGUGGAGGUUGCUAAUAUACAUCUUCUAUUUCUUUUUUUUUUUUUUUUUGGUGAGACCGUGUUAGCCGUCCUCUUUUAACAUUUGUUUUAUUUUAAUGUGAUUAAAAAUUUAAAUAUUUUUCUUUUUUGAUUUUAAUUUUUAUAAAUUAUAUUUGUUUUUAAGUUAAUAUUGUUGUAACAUGAUAAUAUCAUCAAGUGAUAAAUAACAUAAUGAUGUCAUAUGAUUUAUUUGUUAUGUCAUUAUUUUUUUAUAUGGAAACUAGUCAUAAAGUAAAAAAAAAAUCACUUUUUUUCAGGACAAAGAAAAAACAUUAAAUUAUAUACUACAAAUAUAUCUAAAUCUAAAAAUAUUUUAAAAUUAAGUUAAAAUUCAUUUGUAUUCUAUUUUUACCAAAACAUGCUUUUUUAAAAUUACGUUAAAAAAUUUACAAGUAAAAACUCAACUACCCAAAAUGGGUCCUAAGUAACUUAAUUAUGAUUUCCAAUUUAUCAAGUUACAUCUCUAUGUUCCAUAAUUUAUUCCUGAUUUUUCAAUAUUUUUCUCUUAAAAGAAAAUAUUAAUGUUGAGAUUUAUUGUGACAAUAAUUAUUAAAGUUAUAUAUAUCAUUAUAUUUUUCUUUUUAAUGCCAAUCAAUUAAAACAUACUUUAAAUAAAAUGUUUAAAGCAACUUUUAUUAAAAUUAUUAAUUUUAUUAUAUAAUAAUCUACAAUUAGAUCAUAGUGUAAUUUUUGUGUGUGAAUCAUAAUGUGUCAGUUAAUUCUAAUUAAAUUUUUAUGAAUGUUUAUAUGUAUGCGCUUUGCACGUUUGCAACUAAUAUAAAUUAUUUAUCUUCAAAAAACAAAUAUAAAUUAUUAAUUUUAAUUGGGUGUAAAAUCGACUGAGAUGCAGCACCGUAUUCAACUAUCAUGUCACAUAACUUUAUAGAUUUCACCCCAAACAAAAGAAAAAAAAAAGGUUUUUAUAAUUUAAGUUUAAAUAUAUUUUUAAUCUUUUAAAUUUAGGUCAUUUUUUUCUCUCAAAUAAAUUUAUUUUUUUCAAUCCCCCUAUCAUAAAAAGAAAAAUACUUUUCUAGUCUUAUACGGUAAAAAAUUAUAACAAACUAUACAUCGAAAUUGUUAAAAAAAUUGUCAUGAAAGAUUAAAAUGAGUAUUUUUCCAAACUGAGAAACUAAAAAUGAUAUUUAAAUUUUAAAGGUUAUAACCAAAAGUAACUCAAAUUUAAAAGGUAAAAAACGUAUUUAAGUUUAUAAUUUAUAUACUAAAUGAAAGCGUGGAACGGUGGGUAGAGAUGGUUGGUUGGUGCGGAGUCACUUCAACUACCCAUUUUGUGAAUUAAGGGUUCUAUUGUUUUUGAAAAAUGAUAUUUUCUUUCUGCACAUGCAUUAAAUGAAAAUGUACAUGAGGAAAAUUUUAAUUAUAUAAAAUAGAGAUAAAUUGUAAUAUAAAAUAUUUUACAUGUCCUUGUUGAAAAUGAUAUGCAAACAUAAGUUGUAUUUAUUUUGAUUUUUAUAAAUUACAGAUAAAAUUUUAGUGAAAAAUAUCUUAACAAAAUUAAUUAAAAGUAUUAAAUACAUUUAAUUAAAUAUUUUUAAUUAUCUAAAAAUAAGUAUUGCCAAAAGGGUUCUUGGAAAGAGUGAAGAGUAGGGUAGUGAUGCACACUGGUUGGUUUCAGCAGAAGCUUGUGCCGAAACACUCUAGGGUGGGGUGCUAUGUAUGCCAUAGUGGCUUUAGUUCAGUGAUAGAAGCAAUGUUCAAUGACUGCCAACUGGUGCUGUUGCCUUUCAAGGGUGACCAGUUUUUCAUGGCCAAGGAUUUGGAGGCAGGGGUAGAGGUGAAUAGGGGUGAUGAAGAUGGGUUCUUUCACAAAGAGGAUAUAUUGGAGGCAUUGAAAACUAUCAUUGUGAAGGAUAGCAAAGAACCAGGGAAGCACACAAGAGAAAACCACAUGAAAUGGUGCAAGUUUUUGUCAAAUAAGGAAAUUCAGAACAAAUUCAUCACAGGUCUUGCUGCCCAGUUGAAGUCCAUGGCUUAGCUAGGAUUCGGAUUUCUUGGACUAGAAGCUAUCAUUUAAAAUCUAAAUCUUCACAUUUCCUUAGUGUGACUCUUAAUUCCGAUGGAAAAUAAAGCCCAAGACUAAAAUCUCUCUAUUAAAAUCGUCAGAUUUUCAUGUAUCAAUUCUGUUUUGUGUGAUAUGUCUGUUAUUCUGGUGUUUUUGUUUUCCUUUGUAGAUUUUAAUUUCUGUUUCCUUUAAUGUAAUAAGAACAAUUAAUGCAAAUUUUUUUCUCAAGAUGCACCUCAAAAAAGUUUUAAGAUAAUGAUUAAUGCUAUGCAGUGGUAAAAUUUUUAAUAAACCUUAUAAAAUAUCAAAUGACCUCCAAAACAAAUUAGUCAAAUUAUCAAGAUGUUUUAAGGAAUACCUGAAUCUAUAGAGCUUGAUUAACACACAGCAGAAUCUUGUAACGGUCAUGAACAAUUGGUUUAAUGAUCUUCCUCAAUCAAAUCACUUUCUUCCUUUGUGGGACCUUCAUUUUCUCUUGAGAUGGAGAGAGAAGAAAUUGUUUCUUGAUUUAACAGUCUAAUAGACUCAUUAAAUUAUAUCACUUUAUAUUUAACUUAUCUAAAUAUAAAUAACUAACAUAAAUAUUAUAAUAUAAUAUGUAGGCCAUAUUAAUUAAUUAAGAGUUAUAAAAUUUCUAACAUGCAGUUCUAUUCUCUUGAGGAUCCUAUGGUUAUUUCUAUGAUCUUUGGAUUGUUGCAUCAAGAGAAUUUUGUUGCAUGCAUGACUUGCUACUUCAUGUAAGACCUCAUAGACUUUGAGUGCAUUUGUUGUGCAAAUUAUACUACGUCAUUGUUCUAGCUAAAGAUACAAAUAACUGGACAAGGAAACAGUUGAAAGAAACGAUUAAAAGAAUUGAAUGACCAAGAAUGACUCUGGGAAGUAAUGAUGAAAACAAAUAUGGACGUUAAAAGUGCAUGAAAUGUUUGUACGAUUAGAUACAUAUGGAAAAUUACGGUAAUGAAUUACACAGAUUAAGGCUUUUACAGGGGAAUUAGAAUACUAUUUGUUCUCUUGAAAUACCUACAAGCAAAUAUUCCUUGGGAAAUCCAUAAUAACUUUAAUCCCUGUUGAUCCAUAAAUUAAAUCAGCACAGGAAAUCGCACACGCUUCCUUAUGUUACUCUGUUUUUCUUCUUAAAAAACAAGAGAUUGAAGUCAGCACAUGCUAAAUUCAUAUAUUAGACGAUAAAAGAAUUAUUAUCAAAUAAUUUCAAAUCAUGAUGCAUAUGCAUGCAAAUGCAUGCAAAUUAGAACAUUCAUUUCAUAUAUAAACUUAAUUUUAGAUAUUUAAUAUCUUUCUCUUCAAAUGAAAUCUAUUUGUAAUUAUAUUUUAAUGAUGAGAUUUAGAAUGUGAGUUUAGAUAACUCAAUCUCAAAAACUAAUUUGUUAAGUAAAAAUUACUUAUAUAUUUUAAUUUGAUUUCUUUACGGGGAUGUGUAACAUAUAUAACACAUGAUGUUUUUCUUUAUAUUUGUUGAAUAAUAAUGUUAAGUGCAUUCCAAAUAAAUAACAUUGAUAUAGUGCCUUGGAGUCUUAAGACUAGAUGGAAAAGCUGUUUGAGACUUACCAUCUUUAUAGAUUUUUUUAUUGGUCAUAUUUUUCGUGAGGGAACAAUUUUGCAUAUUCCUUAGCCUCUCAUGCUUCUCUCAUGUGAUUUUGUUUUUUGUGGGAUAGUUGUCCUGUUUUAGUUCAAAACUUUGUUUUUAAAUAAUAGGAAUGCUCGUCCUAACUUUAGAUUCAGAUAGAUCUUCUAUUGCUUGUUUCAUGGGUUUAGUUUGGUCCCCCAUAUAUUUUUUUCUCUGAUUUUUUUUCAUUAAUAUUUUUCUUGUUCCAUGGGUUUGGUGAAGUUAGUCUGAAUUCUUGAGUUUAAGUAAAUUUUGUUUCGUAUUCUCCUAAAAAAAUCAUCAUACAAUUUCAAAUAAUGGUAAAUAUGUGUAAAUUAGAACAGUCAUAUAACAUAUAAAAGCAAUUCUAGAUAUUUAAUACCUUUCUCUUAUUCAAUUAUUCCAAUCAUUUAUUUAAUUUUUAUAUUACUUAGUAAAAGCCAUCAAUUUAGACAUAAUUAAUGGAAACUACGAAUAGUAUGUUGAUGCAAUAAUGGCGUAAACCACACACCCAUGACACAACUUUUCAGUUUUCACACAUCAUGCUGUCUUGGCCCAUUUUCCUUCUUUAAAAUCCCAAAUAACGUAAUUAACAAAAUGUCUUUAAUUACUUAAGAAUACAUAUGUAUAAUGAAAGAAAAUAUAAAAAAUUAAGUUAUGAGUUUAACUUAUGGUUAAUUAAUGGUGAGACGUCAAUUAUUUUUCUUUUACUUAUGGUUAACUACUAUAUAUGGAACGUUCAAUACAAACCUCUCUAGCAAGGUAACCAGGUGGUUUUUCCGCAUAAGUUACGUCAUCUGUAAAUAAUAUUCAAAACGACUAUUUUUUUUCUAAUACAGUGCACCUCAAUAUGUGACCUAAGUUUACUGCUUCUCCACACUAUAAAACCCUCUCAAUCGGCCUUUAUUUUUUCUCAAACUAAAAAGCAAAAUGAACGGUGUCGGUGUAGCUGAGCAAUGGAGCGACGUGCCGUUUAGGAUGGACGACGCGGACGACAUGAUCAUCUUCAACUCCCUCUGCGACGCCGUUUCACACGGUUGGUCUUUGUCCGAUUCCACCACACCAAAACCAGAAAACGACGCCGCGGAUCAGAGACCAGCUCACGAAAUAAGUUACUCCGAUUGCCAGAACGACGAUUCCAAGCUGCCGUUUUGGCGCAGAAGAAGAACAUGGGAACGUGCUACAGAGGAGUGAGGCAAAGACCAUGGGGAAAGUUCACGGCCGAGAUUCGCGACCCGGCUCGGAACGGCGCGAGGGCGUGGCUUGGCACUUAUCAAACGGCUGAGGAUGCGGCUUUGGCUUAUGAUCGAGCCGCGUUCAAGCUACGCGGCUCGAAGGCUUUGCUGAACUUUCCGCACCGAAUAAACUUCAACGAGCCGCCGCCGGUGAGAGUCACGGCCAAGAAACGGAAAGUUCCGGCUUCGGUGAAGCUGAGUCGAAGUUGAGGAUGUGUAAGACUGUACGUACGUGUUUCGGUGUUUGAAUGUUUGAUGCAUUGCAUACUGGUAUUUGCUAGAUGGAGACUUGGAGAGUAACUGUUGGUUGGUUAGGAUUAAUGGUGUUUAGGUUUAUUAAAAUGAGAAAGAUGAAGAAAAGAUAAAAAAAAAAUAAUGUAAGUUGCAAUGAAUAAUGCAAAGAUAUGGAAGAGUUAUAUUGGUAAUAUAGCUUUGUUUAUUGAGUGUUUAUCAUGUAAAUAUUUAUUUUGAGUUAUUUUUAUAAUUGAAAAAUAAUUAAAUUAUUUUUAUAUAAGUUAUAGAUUAUGUUUGACAAAAUUAACUUAAAGUUGUUGAAAAUUGAAAGUUGAAAAGAUAAAUUAUUAAAUUAUAAGUGUAUAAUAAAAUUAAUUGUUAAAAUAACUGAAAAAUAUAAAAUAAUAAAAAAAUAAUAAAUAUAUAGAGAAUAAAAUGAAAAAAAUAUAAAAGUUAAAAAUUAUAUGCUAAUAUUUUAAAAAAUAUUCCUUCAAGUAGUGUUUUAAUAAAGUUAGAAGUUAUUAAAAAAAAUUAUUUACCAACAAACAAACAGUUAAUAAAAAAAUUAAAUUGUCUUGUCAAAAAUAACGAUUAACUUUUUUUUCAUAAAUUAUCUUCUUGAACAUUAGCAUUAUUGAGUUUGAAACAUUUAAGUCUCAAUUUUUUUGAAUUAUAUAUAUAUAUAUAUAUAUAUAUAUAUAUAUAUAUAUAUAUAUAAUUCAACACAUAAUAUAAGUAUUCAAGAUAAUAUCAUUUAUCAUAUAUCUAUUAUUCAAAUAAUUAUCUUAUAUUGUAAGUGCAUAGAUAUUAAUUUUUUUAACUGAUUUGUCAUGAUAAAUAAUUAACACAGAAUAUAGAAAAUCAACAAAUGAAUCGGUUAAAAAGAUAGAGUCAGUUAGAAAUUUAACUAGGAUAAUUAGCUCUCUAUAUAAGAGGUUUCAUUGUGUAAUUCUCAUCUUUUUCAAUCAAUUCAAUAUGUUAUGACAUUAGUAUUAAUAUGUUCUUUAUCUAUCAUGCAUUUUAUCUUCAUCCCUUUGAUCAUGAAUUCGUAACAAUAAUAUCUAUUAAUUGUAUAAUGCAUGAUUAAUUGAUUGAUAAUCUAAAAGUAAUUAUUAAAUCACAUUGGUGGAUUAAAAAUAAAUCGAUAUUAAAAGGUUUUUUACCUUUAAAAAAUGUUUUUAAAGAAAAUUCCUUAUUAAAAGUUGUUCAUUAUAAGAGUGAACAAAAAGAAAAUCAUGACGCCAUCUUAAUUUUAUUGGCACCAAUAAAGGAUGACAAAAUGGACAUUUUAUUCCACUUCUCAUUUCCUCGAAAUUUUAAACAAUUAAGCUUGACCCGUAAGUAAUGUUAGUGAAAUUCAUGAAAUGUUAAUGUGAAGAAUAAUAUAAAACUGAGCCAAUUAUGGAAGAAUGGUAGCUGUGAUAUUCCAUAAUUCUUCGAAAACCAUUCUAUCUGAAGCCAAAAAUGAAAUCAAGCUUGACUUGGACUUGGACUGAUAGCCCGAAAUAACAUUUCAUUUUACAGAGUCAAUGGAAUAUGGAAUAAAUGGACGACUUUAUAUUUCCAUCCAUAGGAAAGAUUUUCCAGCCCACCGCAGCUGUCCUUUUAUUCAUUUUUUUUCCUCUCCUGCGUCAAAACAAGUAUCACAACAUAAAAAAAAAAAUAUUUCAAAAUAAUUAUUACAUCUUAUUUUUUAAUGUAAUAUUAAUUAUUUUUAAUACUAAUAUUUUUAAUAAGUAUCAUUUUAAUUUUUAAAUGAAAUAUUAAUAUUAAAGUUAAUUUUAUAAAAUUAUUACUUUUUUUAUUUUUGUAAAAUAAUCUAGAAUGAGACAUAUUUUAGAAACAGAAGAAAUAUACGAAUAAUAUUGACACAGUAGUUAUAUCUUGUUUCUCUUAAUCAAGUGGUCUAAUUUUAAUUAUGAUUAAUUCUUAAAAAUGAAAUAUGUUAAAAAAAAAUAUUCACCACCUUAUGUCUAUUCAUUCUAAAAUAAAAAGAUUGUCUACAAUUUGACAUCAUACAAGUCAGUCUAUUCAUAUAUCUCUGAAUGUGAAUACGUAGCCGUUUUACCUGGCAUACGAUGUUGGGCGGGGAAAAAUAGACCGGUUGACAGAUUUUUUUCCUCAAUUUGAAAAAAAAAAAAUACUAGUAACAAACAAAUUUGUUUAAGUAAAAAUAAAUACUGAAUCAAAAUGUAACACAAAUAUUAUUUUUUAGUAUUACUAUUAUAAUAAUUUUUAUAAUGUAUUGAAAUAAUAUAUUUAUUUACCUUUUAAAUAUUAAGUAGGUGUUUUAGAAUUCUUAACAAAAUUUUUAAAUAACUCAUCAUUAAUGUUACAUUAUACUUUAAAAAUAUAUUUAUAUUAUAUAAAUAAGUUAGAUUUAACUCUUAUAAAUCUUAUUUUUUAUAUAUUCAGGUCUGAUGUCAAUAGCAUCAGUUUUAAUUUUUUGUAGUUUACAAUUUAUUUUAUGUACAAUAUUUUUUUUCCUAUUGAUCUAUCAGCUAAUUAGCAUAUUUCGGGAUAAUUUAUAAGAAAAUUCAAUAUGAAUUAAGCUAUAGACCAGGUCAAACUUUUUUAAAAGGUUAGAUUAGGUAAAAAAAAAAAAAAAAAACUGUAACAAAUAACAAUCUAAACAUGAACCUUAAUUUUUUUGUUUUUUUAAUGGAAUUUAUUUUUGUUAAGAAUAUAACUAUGUUUAAUAUAAUCUAUUUCUACUCCCUAUAUGCUAUUUGAUUAAAAUUAAAUAUUACAAUUCUUUUGGAUAUUAAAAUUUUAACUUGAUAAAUUAUGUAAUAAAAGGCAAUAUAAAUUACUGAGGCGUUAAUUUUAAUUGAAGAAUAAUAUUCAAAUCGAAAUAGGAUCCUAUUCAGUUUAAAAAUAAACUGCAGGAUGUGCAGUUAUAAAUAUAACUCUUAAAAUUUAUUAAAGUAAAUUUUAAUAGAUAAAAAUACUAUUUAAUAACUUAAACUAGAUUAAAAAAUUGGAGGGGGAAUUUUUUAAUUAUAUUAAUAAUACUAUUAAUUUGAUAUUAUUGAAAAAAUCUAAAAUUAAUUCAAACUUCAAUAAUAUAAAACUUAUUUAUUAAUAAGAAAUAAUAUAAAAUAGUUAAAUGUGACUAAUUUUCAAUAUAACUAUAAAAUUAAUUUUGACAAUAAUAUUCUAUUGAAAUCAAAGUAGUUUGUAUAACAAAUGAAACUACAUAAAAAACCCAAAAAAAAUAUUUUUAUAAAAAAUAACUCACAUUAUUUCAUUAUAAUCAAUUCUAUGAAGAUCAUUAAUUUAAUAUUUUGUAAAAAAAAAUAUUGAAACAAAAUUAAGUGAAUGAAUGAAAAAUGUAAAUGUAAUAUCACAUACUUAACAUUAAAAGUCAUUAUAAUUGUUAUAUUCACAUUAGUUUAUAUUAAAUUUGAUCAGAUAUCACAUUUAUUAUCUGAUAAAAUAGUUUUCAAGAAAAAAUAUUUUUAACAAAUUUUAAACAAUGAAAGUUAAUAAAUAUGAAUUUAAUUAUUUUAAAUAUAUUCUCAAUUUCAAUCAUACAUUUAUAACAUCAUUUAAAAUUUUAUAACAAUUUGAAAAUAAUUAAAAUUACUUAAUUUGGAAUGACUAAUUUACACAUAAUUAUUUUGAGUUUCAAAAAAGUAUUUAUAAUAUUCGUAAAGUUUAAAAUUUGAUUAUAUAUAUUUAUAAAUUUCCUAAUAAAUUUUUAUCUUUUUAUUAGUUUAUUUUUUAUGUACAAACUCUAAGUACACUCACCCAUUUAUUUUUUUCAAAUCCCUUCUUCACCAAAUUUGUUUGUUGACGACAACAAUUAUUUAUUUAGAAGUAAAGAGAAAAUAAAAAUAUAUAAAUAAAGAAAAGUAACAAUAAAAAAUUGACUUAAUACAUUAGUUUAUAACAUGGACUUUUAAGAAAUAAUAUUGUGUCUAAAAAUUUAUUAUUUUACUUUUAAAAGUGUGUACGGUUUAUAAUUUUAUUAUAAAAUCAUAAAUUGACUCGAAAAGUAUAGGUCGAAUUGUCUUGUCACUUUAUAAAUAAUUGUAGUCAAACAAUGUAGCUCAAAUUAAUCUUUUUUUAUUGAAAAAAUCAUCGUCAUAUCUAAUUAAUUUAAUAUAUAUAUCAAUCUUUACGGGAACAAAUUUUCUAACCUAACAUCAAUCAAUCAAAUAUCUUAAUUUAAUAUUCAAAAUAUGCACUAAAAUAAUAUCAAUAAAUUUUAAUAAUAACUUUAAUUAAAAUAUUUUAUUCAUGCCAUAAAUAAAUAUUUUAUUCAUGUGGAAACUGCAUACUAUAUAUAAAGUCAAUAAAUAAGAAUAAGUCAUGAAAUGAUUGGUCCACAUAAAUAAAAUAAGUUGAAUAAAAAUUGUUAUGAAAUAAUAAUAUUACGUGUUAUGAAAUCUUCUUGUCCUUACUCUUUUAUUUAUUGGGCUGAAUCUCAAUAAAUAAAAAUAAUUGUUAUUUCUACUCCUCCUUCAUAUUAAUUCAUUUCCCUUUUUCAUUUUUUAUUACUAAAGUACCCUACUAAACACAUUGACGUCUCUUUCUUCUUCGUGUAAUUCUUCUGGAAGAAAAAGAAAAAAAGCACACUCCCCAUCCUUCUAUCCUAAUUAAACAGUGGAACCCCUUUCUUUCUCUUCUUUUCUCCGAUGAGGAGGCACGAUCUCUGAUUGUAACCCUCCUGCAUCAACUUUCCAAACCAAAAUUCCUCUUCUCCAUCUCCUUGGACCAAGGCAAAACUUCAAGGAUUGGAUAGAUCAGCGCAGCACACUAAUUCCAAGUAGCACAAAUUAGAUCCAACAACAUGCGAAGCAAACAACUGGAGUCGCUAAUUGAAUUCCAAAAACUAUAGUGUAAUUGUGAUGCAAUUUCAAACAAUUGAUCGCGAAUUGAACAGGUUGUUGGAGGUUGAUCGAGUGGCAUGGAAGGGGAGUGUGUUGUUCAGGAAAAGUGAUACGAAGGGGGAGGGUGUAUAAUAACUUUUUUAUGGAAAACUUUUUUUUAUGAAAUUUUGAAGGAAAACUUUAAUAUUGUACUUAAUGGAGCAAAAUAAAUUAAAUAAUAGCGGUGCCGCUAAUGGUUAUGAAAUUAGUUGCUUAAUUGUAAUUACGGUUAGUUGAAUGCGCAAGUUAUUUCCUUUUGUUGAAUAAUUAUGUAAAUAAACAAUUAAAAAUAUACCUAUCCAAAGAGAAGUUUGACCACUUGUUCCACUUGUUCUUGCAGUGUGAUUUUCUAUUCAGGAGGUGGUUGGGUUUUGCUAUGGUGCAGCACAAUGAAGUUCAGCAGCAUUAUUUGCAACAUGGUCUUCUGUUUCGGGGUAAGAAAUUUCGUAGGUUUCCUUAUUUGUUUUGGCACGCUCUAUGAAGCACAAUUACAUCUUUCUUGUUCAAAGUGUCUUUAUGUCCGACAUAUUUCUAAUACCAGCAUAUUCAAUACUGUUCGAUAUUUAUCUGACAUUUUAUUGAAUUUUUUUUUUACGUAAACACUCAAACUAUCACCUUUACAUAAUUAAUACACUUAAAAAAUAUAAAAUAUUAAUUUUAAAAAAUAAAAUAUAUCAUCAAUUUACAUAUUUUGUUCUAUAUUAUUCAUGUUUUAUUUAAUUAAAAUCUUUUUGUUUGUUAGUGUCUUAUAUUUUAAAUAUUAACCAUAUUGAAAUAUUUGUGUGGUGUUCGAUAUCGGUAUCAUAGUCGGUGCUUCACAGGGCAUGCUAUUUGCGAGUGUCUAUGGACUAUGGUUGCUGCGGAAUAAAGUGGUUUUCCAAAAUGUGAUUUCGGAUGUGUAUGGUAUGCUGUCGCACAUCCGACGUAUUUCUUGGAUUUGGCUAUACAGGGUCCCCUUCUCUGGUAGUGGUGGUGUAGUGUUUGGAAACUGGUGUAUUUGUCCCCUGGAUUGCUUACGGUGUGUAUGUUAGAGACCCUAUUAUGCUCCUUUAUUACGAUCUGAUGUAAUCUUUAUUGUAUUUGGGUCACAUUUUAUGGCUCUUAAUAAUAGUAUUUGAUUUUAAUUUUCAGAAAGAAAAAAAAACAAAAUAGUGUGUAUAAAAUUAUUAUAAACUUUUAGUAUAUAUAUAUAUAUAUAUGAUUCUUACUUAUAAAAAAAUAAUUACACCAAUAAAUUCAUCCUCAAAUAUUACGUUAUGAAAUCAGAGCUAUUUUAGUUAUGCAUAUGCAAAUGUCUUAAUUUUUUUUUCUUAACCUAUUUUUUUUAUUUGCUCUUCUAUAUAAAAUCACUCUAAUAAGAUUGUCUUCGCUGGAGUUUACCUGUAACUUAUACCAAAAAUUAUAAAAUCGCUCUAAGGGAAGAUAUGAGUAUGACUGAUCCCUUGUUAUAUUCAUGCAAAUUAUAUGGUGUGUUCGUUCUGAUAUAAAUCGAUAACGUUUAGUGGAUAUAAUUGUUAGAGAAAGUAGAAGCCUUAUCUUAUCUUGGUAUGUUAAAACGGUUUUAUUACAUUUUCUAUCAUUGCAAUUAAUCAUUAAACAAAAACAGAAAAUCCUAGCACAUAACAUAUAUAUGAACAUAACCAUAGAAGAGCGGCACGUACAUAUGUUGGCCUAGGAUCGUUGUUAAGUGUUAACGCUGGUCCAAAACAUGCAACAAACAACAACCAAGAAAAAAAAAAAAAAGGUACGUACAAAAAACCUAACGUGUCAUCAAACACAUGCAUGGGUUUUGCAUGCAAGCCUUGCAUGAAAAGCUUGCCAACACGUGCCAAACCACCUCCUCAGGUGUUGCCACCCAAGCCUCCACUCACCAAUUUCUCCAUUUAUACCCUCAUUACCACCACCUUAAACCCUACCACAUUAAUUACUCACUCUUCACUCAAAACUCUUGUCUUUCAUUUUGAUAAUUCCCACACUAUGGCUGAGCUUCACUACCAACAACAACACCAAUACCCUCACCGAUACCCUAAUGAUCCAUACGAACAACAAACUAGCUACUCCACUCAGGUCGUCAAGGCGGCCACCGCCGUCACCGCGGGCGGCUCCCUCUUGAUCCUCGCCUCGUUGAUCCUUGCCGGCACCAUCAUCGCCCUCACCAUCGUCACACCACCGCUCGUCAUCUUCAGUCCGGUUCUCGUCCCCGCGGUGAUCACCGUCGCGCUGCUGAGCCUGGGGUUCCUUGCCUCCGGCGGGUUCGGUGUGGCGGCGAUCACGGUGCUGGCGUGGAUCUACAGGUACGUCACCGGGAAGUACCCACCUGGCGCGGAUCAGUUGGACAGCGCGCCUCACAAGAUCAUGGACAAGGCGCGUGAGAUCAAGGACUAUGGACAGCAGCAAAUCAGUGGGGUGCAGGCUUCUUAAUCGUGUGCACGCACGCACCCGAUCAAAUCCAUCUCGUGG